CUAUGCGCCCAGUGCUGCUGAGGAGCACAAGGACGAGGGAGAAAGAGAAGUG
This 52-nucleotide non-coding RNA is filed under the name Karenia brevis. Lineage: Eukaryota; Dinophyceae; Gymnodiniales; Kareniaceae. The record is from RNAcentral.